GAUGAACGCUGGCGGCGUGCCUAAUACAUGCCAGUCGAGCGAACAGACGAGGAGCUUGCUCCUCUGACGUUAGCGGCGGACGGGUGAGUAACACGUGGAUAACCUACCUAUAAGACUGGGAUAACUUCGGGAAACCGGAGCUAAUACCGGAUAAUAUAUUGAACCGCAUGGUUCAAUAGUGAAAGACGGUUUUGCUGUCACUUAUAUAUGGAUCCGCGCCGCAUUAGCUAGUUGGUAAGGUAACGGCUUACCAAGGCGACGAUGCGUAGCCGACCUGAGAGAGUGAUCGGCCACACUGGAACUGAGACACGGUCCAGACUCCUACGGGAGGCAGCAGUAGGGAAUCUUCCGCGAUGGGCGAAAGCCUGACGGAGCAACGCCGCGUGAGUGAUGAAGGUCUUCGGAUCGUAAAACUCUGUUAUUAGGGAAGAACAAAUGUGUAAGUAACUAUGCACGUCUUGACGGUACCUAAUCAGAAAGCCACGGCUAACUACGUG
Molecule: ribosomal RNA, 497 nt
Filed under: uncultured bacterium
Lineage: Bacteria
Description: partial 16S ribosomal RNA
Rfam family: Bacterial small subunit ribosomal RNA
Source: RNAcentral